Entelurus aequoreus (snake pipefish) is the source of this 736-nucleotide long non-coding RNA. RefSeq lists it as uncharacterized. The transcript has 3 exons. Lineage: Eukaryota; Metazoa; Chordata; Actinopteri; Syngnathiformes; Syngnathidae. The record is from RefSeq and is a predicted model, not a curated record.
ACUGUUCACCAGCAGGAGUAUAUGUAGUAACAACAACUGACCACCAGAGGACGCCAAAUGUGCCCUGUGCUUUCUUUCUUUUUUGGCACCGUUCCAUACUGGGGGGGACAAGUUAUUCUGAGCUAAUUUGCACCUGAUGUUCACUUAAUGAAGACGGAGGCAUGCCCUGGUGGGAGAGCAAAUCUCCUGACAUGAUGUCCAAUAAUUAAGGCAGAUCUGGCACACCUGGAGGUGCAGUCCAGGUGCGUCGGUUAUAAGGUAAUGCGGAGCAGCCAUUGAACAGCAGAACAAACGAAAGGGGACCGCUCGCCAUCCAUCUUCCGUCCCCGUCUCCAGUUAUUGAUCCGUAUCGUGAUGCCAGCUUAACACAUGCGUCCGGGCCAAUCCGGAGGUUCCACAAGGGAUGUUGUCUGAGCUACUGAGAACUAACAUCGUAUCAUUUUAUCGCAUCUUAUUGUGCUGCAUCUUGUGCCAUAUAUUAUUAACAUAUCCCAAAGCAUUGGAUGUUAGUAAUUUUAAAUAUCGGACACUCUGAUUGCUGCAAGUUUCCCGCCAUCCUGUGGACUACGUGAGUAAAUCUGGUCAAUGACAAUGAAUUAAUGUUUGAAGAAAAUACAGCACAGCGUUUACUUACAUGACCCAAUCCAAACAACCUUCCUUAGUCAUGGGGCAAAAAAGAACAACCCUGUAACAAACACAAAAAGUCAACACACAUGGUCACACAUAGCAUAACCUG